UACAGAGGGGGCAAGCGUUAUUCGGAAUUAUUGGGCGUAAAGGGCACGUAGGCGGCCUUCUAAGUCGAACGUGAAAUCCCCGGGCUCAACCCGGGAACUGCGUCCGAUACUGGAAGGCUUGAAUCCGGGAGAGGGAUGCGGAAUUCCAGGUGUAGCGGUGAAAUGCGUAGAUAUCUGGAGGAAUACCGGUGGCGAAGGCGGCAUCCUGGACCGGCAUUGACGCUGAGGAGCGAAAGCCAGGGGAGCAAACGGG
This 253-nucleotide ribosomal RNA is filed under the name uncultured bacterium. RNAcentral describes it as "partial 16S ribosomal RNA". It matches the Rfam family "Bacterial small subunit ribosomal RNA", at positions 524 to 776 of the family's 1533-position model. The record is from RNAcentral.